UCCCAGUUUGCGGCCGGGUGCCCCCACCCCGGGGCGCAGCGGCUCUCGAAGCAAAGCUUUAUUCGGGCUGUAUUAAAAAAUAAUAAUACCCGCUUUGGGAACGGCCCCGGCCCUGGGGAGACGGGUGCUGGGGCGCCCUGGGAUCCGUCAGGGAACCCCCGGGAUCCAGGGCAUCUGGGCACUCCGGGAUCAGGGCACUGGGGCACCCCAGGGAUUGGGACACCCCGGGAUCGGGGACACCCACGGAUCAUGGUACCUGGGCACCCAAGGAUCGGGUCAUCCUGGGGUGGGGGCACCCUGGGAUCAGGGACACCCAAGGAUCAGGGCAGCCCGGGAUCGAGGCACCUGAGCACCCAGGGAUCAGGGCACCCAGGGAUUGGGGUACCUGAUCACUCGGGGAUCGGGACACCCAAGGUUUGGGGCAUGCAGGCAUCGGGGUACCUGGUCACCCAGGGAUCGGGGCAUCUGGGUGCCCAGGGAUUGGAGCACCUAGGCAUUGGGAUACCUGAUCACCCAGGGAUUGGGGCACCCAGGGAUUGGGGCAUCCAGGGAUCAGGAUACCUGAUUGCCCAGGGAUCAGGGCACCUGGGGAUCGGGAUACCUGAUCGCCCAGGGAUCAGGGCACCUGGGGAUCAGGGUGCCCAGGGAUCGGGAUACCUAAUCACUCAGGGAUCAGGGCACCCAGGCAUUGGGAUACCUGAUCACCCAGGGAUCGGGGCACCCAGGGAUCGGGGCACCCAGGCAUCAGGUCAUCGGAGCACCCAGGGAUCAGGAUACCUGCUCACCCAGGGAUCGGGGCACCCAGGGAUUGGGGCACUCAGGCAUUGGGAUACCUGAUCACCCAGGGAUCGGGGCACCCAGGGAUGGGGAUACCUGGGCAUCCAGGGUUUGGAGCACCCAAGCAUCGGGAUACCUGAUCACCCAGGGAUGGGGAUACCUGGGCACCCAGGGAUGAGAGCACCCAGGGACGGGGACACCUGAGCACCGGGGGGGGGUCAGAGUCCCGCGGGGAUGGGGGGCGCCGGGGGAGGAGGAGGAAGGAGGACGAGGAAGAUGAGGAGGAGGAAGGAGGAGGAAGGAGGACGAGGAAGAUGAGGAGGAGGAAGGAGGAGGAAGGAGGAUGAGGAAGAUGAGGAGGAGGAAGGAGGAGGAAGGAGGACGAGGAAGAUGAGGAGGAGGAAGGAGGAGGAAGGAGGAGGAGGAAGAUGAGGAGGAGGAGGAGGGAGGAGGAAGGGGGCGGCGCUAGGCGCUGUGCUUCUGGCGCUUCCAGAAGCGCUUGACGUCGGGGUGGCCGCCGGGCGUCACCACCAUGAGGCGCCGCCCGGGGUUCUCGAACACCAGCACGCCCAGCGCCCGCGCGUGGUCCCGCAGCACCUCGAAGUCCACCUGCGACAGGAACUGGUUGUACAGCACCCCUGCGGGGGGGGGACGGGGACGGCGGGGGCGUCACCGGCGGCGCCACCUCCUCCUCGGGGACGUCACCUCCCCCUGAGGGACCCCGGGGUGUCACCUUCCCCCUCGGGGACACCAGGGGUAUCACCUUUCCCUCGGGGACAUCACCUUCCUCUGAGGGACCCUGGGGUGCCACCUCACCCUUGGGGACACUGGGGGUGUCACCUGUUCCUUGAGGACCCUGGGGUGUCACCUCUUCCUCGGGGACUCCUGGGGUGUCACCUUCCCCCUCGGGGAUGUCGCCUCUCUCUGAGGGACCCUGGGGUGCCACCUCCUCCUCGGGGACACCAGGGGUAUCACCUUUCCCUCGGGGACAUCACCUUCCUCUGAGGGACCCUGGGGUGUCACCUCACCCUUGGGGACACUGGGGGUGUCACCUGUUCCU
This 1837-nucleotide long non-coding RNA is filed under the name Apteryx owenii (little spotted kiwi). Its description in RNAcentral is "lncRNA (ENSAOWG00000001960.1)". Lineage: Eukaryota; Metazoa; Chordata; Aves; Apterygiformes; Apterygidae. The record is from RNAcentral.